Molecule: ribosomal RNA, 918 nt
Filed under: Phanerochaete velutina
Lineage: Eukaryota; Fungi; Basidiomycota; Agaricomycetes; Polyporales; Phanerochaetaceae
Description: LSU rRNA
Rfam family: Eukaryotic large subunit ribosomal RNA
Source: RNAcentral
CUAAGCAUAUCAAUAAGCGGAGGAAAAGAAACUAACAAGGAUUCCCCUAGUAACUGCGAGUGAAGCGGGAAAAGCUCAAAUUUAAAAUCUGGCAGUCUUUGGCUGUCCGAGUUGUAAUCUGGAGAAGCGUCUUCCGCGCUGGACCGUGUACAAGUCUCCUGGAACGGAGCGUCAUAGAGGGUGAGAAUCCCGUCUUUGACACGGACUACCAGUGCUUUGUGAUGCGCUCUCAAAGAGUCGAGUUGUUUGGGAAUGCAGCUCAAAAUGGGUGGUAAACUCCAUCUAAAGCUAAAUAUUGGCGAGAGACCGAUAGCGAACAAGUACCGUGAGGGAAAGAUGAAAAGCACUUUGGAAAGAGAGUUAAACAGUACGUGAAAUUGCUGAAAGGGAAACGCUUGAAGUCAGUCGCGUUUGCUAGGACUCAGCCUUGCCUCGGCUUGGUGCACUUCCUAGUAAACGGGCCAGCAUCACUUUUGGCUGCGGGAAAAAGGUCAGAGGAAUGUGGCACCUUCGGGUGUGUUAUAGCCUCUGGCUGCAUACCGUGGCUGGGAGUGAGGAACUCAGCACGCCUUACGGCGGGGCUUCGGCCACCUUCGUGCUUAGGAUGCUGGCGUAAUGGCUUUAAACGACCCGUCUUGAAACACGGACCAAGGAGUCUAACAUGCCUGCGAGUGUUUGGGUGGAAAACCCGAGCGCGUAAUGAAAGUGAAAGUUGGGACCUCUGUCGUGGAGGGCACCGACGCCCGGACCAGACCUUCGGUGACGGAUCUGCGGUAGAGCAUGUAUGUUGGGACCCGAAAGAUGGUGAACUAUGCCUGAAUAGGGUGAAGCCAGAGGAAACUCUGGUGGAGGCUCGUAGCGACUUCUGACGUGCAAAUCGAUUCGUCAAAUUUGGGUAAUAAGGGGCGAAAGACUAAU